AGGACGAACGCUGGCGGCGUGCUUAACACAUGCAAGUCGAGCGGAAAGGCCCUUCGGGGUACUCGAGCGGCGAACGGGUGAGUAACACGUGAGCAACCUGCCCUUAGCUUCGGGAUAGCUCCGGGAAACCGGAAUUAAUACCGGAUAUGACUAUGGCCGACAUCAGCCAUGGUGGAAAGUUUUUCGGCUAGGGAUGGACUCGCGGCCUAUCAGCUAGUUGGUGAGGUAACGGCUCACCAAGGCGACGACGGGUAGCCGGCCUGAGAGGGCGACCGGCCACACUGGGACUGAGACACGGCCCAGACUCCUACGGGAGCAGCAGUGGGGAAUAUUGCGCAAUGGGCGAAAGCCUGACGCAGCGACGCCGCGUGGGGAUGAAUGCCUUCGGGUUGUAAACCCCUUUCAGCAGGGACGAAGCGAAGUGACGGUACCUGCAGAAGAAGCGCCGGCUAACUACGUGCCAGCAGCCGC
This 471-nucleotide ribosomal RNA is filed under the name uncultured bacterium. RNAcentral's name for it is "SSU rRNA". It matches the Rfam family "Bacterial small subunit ribosomal RNA", at positions 26 to 518 of the family's 1533-position model. The record is from RNAcentral.